CGGGGCCUAAUGCUGAUAAACUCUCAUGUGAACAGAGCCAUCAAGUCCAGACAGCAAAGGCAUCAACAGCAAUACCAGCCAGAUGGAAACCACCAUACUGAUUCCAGACAAACCAAUGGACCUGUCAACUACAUCAAAACAUGAGCCAAAAUACAUUACUGAGCCCCAUAAAACAGAAGAAACAUCUGAGGACAUAGCUGAUGAGAUCGAAUACCUUUGGUCCAAAAAAGACUGUGAAUUGGUGGUUGCUGUUGUGUCAUCGGCAGAAAAGAUGAGCAGGUACACCGUCCGUCACUCAGAGUUCAAAACUCUGCAACCGCACAAGUGGCUUGUGGGAGAGGCAAGAAUAUCCAUGAGAUAUUAUUAUUUAAAAUUGGUAUGAUUUAAAUUGCCAAAGUAUACCAUAAAUAUUGUAAACAUCUGGAACGCUGUCAGUUCCCUUUACAGGACAGUAGCAUUUGCCUCAUCGAUGUCUUUACUGCUCAAGUGAUCAUGACCAGAGACAGAGAUGCAGUAUGCAGACAGAGCCUACGGAAGGUGGACUUCACAAAAUACCAAGCAAUUAUCAGUUUCCUGAAUGUGAAUGAUAACCACUGGAAGUUUUUGGUGAAAGCUUUCAAAAUACCAAUAAGUUCUUUUUCAUGGAUAUGUGGUCAAAGCUGAACUAUAAUUUGAAAUGGGUUUCUCUCUUUUGUCCAGUAUCUACAUGCAUCUUCCAGUCAGGUUUUUCUUAUUGACCCACAAGGAACUGAUGAGGAAAAGGACUCUAAGCAAGCUGCUAUCAGAUUUUGGUAAAAAACAAUGCUAAAAUUACUCGAAUUAUUUCCAAUUACUUUAACUGUAUUUACCCCUAACUGUUUCAUAUAUUUAUCAAAGUGAAUACUUCAAAAUGAGGUUUGGCAAAAAAGAGUGUGUGGAGAUUGAGUGGAGAGAUCCACAAUUAAACACACAAUCCAGCAGGAUUCAUACAGCUGUGGUGUAUUUGUUAUGCAGAUUGAAUGUCAUGCGUGCAAACACUGGUUUCAUGUGAAAUGCCUAAACAUGAAACCUCACGAAUUUGAGAAGGCAAAAAAUACUAACUGGGCUUGCAAUUUUUGCUUUUUUUUUUUUUUCCCAACAUUUUUUGCUUUUCCUUGGUUACUUUCUUUUCAACUUGUAACAACUAAAAAAGAUUGAAAGUUUUAUGUGUCUGAAUCUUUUAUCCACAUCCAUGACAUCUACAGUAGUCAACAUUUGAAGUGGAUCAAAACCUUUCAUCAAAGUUGUCCUAAAAACCUUCUUGGACUACUUAGUUCUUAGGACAACUUUGAUUAACUUUUUUGAUCCACUUCAAAUGUUGACUACUGUAUAUGUUCCAAAUUAUCAUGCAAGUAUAUCAGUAUUUCAGCAAAACAUUUUAUUUCAGUCACAUUUCUCAGGCAAUAAUGGAAGGAAGAAAGAUUUUCCUGAAGAUGAAAAGCAUUAAAGAGUACAAUGUCUUGCAAAAGGAAUGACAGUGCCUUUUUAUAGCUGCAUGCCCUUUUAAUGCAAUUAAUGUUUGACAGAAAUUUUCCUUAGCAAGACAUUUCUGACAGUUCUUCUGUGCUCCAAGUCAAACACAAAUCUUUUGACAGUAAUAAUCUCUGUUCUAGGGAUGCUCAUAUUGACCUUUUAACCGUUAGUAAGAAUUUUGACUGAUUAAUGAUUAAUACUAUCAGUUAAGCGGUUUAAAGGGAAAUUUUAUUUUUUUCAAACAUUUCUUAAAGUUUUCUGCAUAGUUAAAGAAUAAUGAGCUAUAAACAACAACAUAGGCUAAUUAAAAACUGAACGCGUCUGCUCAAUUCAGCCGACUGAAAGUCGCAGCACAGAUCAGCAACAGGAGUUAGAGUUGAUUCAUGAUUUGUUUUUUUUUAAGCGAAAUGUAAAGGCGCCUAUUUGCAACCCAGUCUCACGGCAGUUCGUGACAUAGUCACGAAAUUUAAUCUAUUGGUUCGUGUUCGUGGACACGAAUUUCCCUUUUUUUCCAUGUCACUCAGCACGACUUUCGAUCUAAUGUAUUUCAAUAGGAAGCAUCUUUCGUGUCUGCACCACGUUUUCUUUCUGCCACUAAGAAGCAUUUUUUCUCAUUUGUUAUUCAUUUUUAAACUUUAAGCACUACAUUAAUCAACAUUUAACUAGGAGAUUUGAUCCUUGAGUUUAUUGCUUUAUAUUCUGUAGGGUACUAACCAUUGUGCUACGGUUUCUUUUCUGAGAAAUGCCGUUUUUCAAUCUAUUUGGUGUGUCAAAUCGGACAGUAAACUAAAUAUUACAGUACCCAUGAGCCUUAUCUACUUUUACUAUGUUGAAGACGUCAGCUAAAACUACCUGAUGACCCACUGCCGAUUCUCUUUUAAUGAUAUCCUCAUCUUUCUUUCAACACAUAAACACGAAAGUGUGCUUGAUAAUUCAACAAUACGAUGACCAUCAGUUUUAUUUGAUUCUCCUUCUAUUGUGAGAACGGGGGGUUUAGUUGUGGUUAUUAAUUAAAUUAAAAUAAAAUAAAAAAUAAAUUAAUUAGUUGAUGCCCGCAUUACCCGUGAGCCUCAGCAUCCGUUGCUAUGGAGACGAAGCCAGUCCACUUCGCGAUUGGGUGAUUUCUGCAGGCCGCGAAUUCUCCGUCAUUGCGCUCGAACCACUUUCCAGGUAAGCCACGAGACUUGAAUGUAAUGAUCAAAUUUGUUUAAAUGUUGUAAUUGAUGCUUUUCUUUGCCAUUAGACUCACAUGGUUUACAUGUUAGAGCAUGAAUUAAAGGCCGACCAUUGGUUUCCAUAUUAACAGUAAAAAAAGAAGACACACCUUUUGUGCAGUCAUACAGAAAAUGGGAAAAACGUGAAUUUUAUUUUGUAUUUUUAAGAAAAUUGGUAUCUCUCACUAUCGGGGUACACAUUUUAAAACUUUUUUCAUCAUAUCUAGCCUUCACUACAUAAUGAACAAUUUCUGUUCUCCUGCAGAUCCUGUCAAACUUCACCUUCACCCUAUAGAUACACCUGAUUCCCAAAACCCAAAGGCACUUUUAAGAGCCAACCUCUAUCUAUCUUCAUCAUUUUCUAUCUCUGUCCAUCUAUCUCACCAUCUAUAUUUCUAUCCAUCUCUUCAAUCUCUAUCUGUCAUCUAUCUCAAUUUCUCUAUUUCUCAAUAUCUUUCCUCUCUUUCUGUCUUUGUCAGUCAGUCUGUCUGUCUGUCUCUGUCUGUGUUGCAGUGGCCACCAGACAUAUCCUUGACUCACAGGACCAAGAGGGGAGACGCAUGGCUCUUGAACUGAAACAUGACCACGUUCUAGCUGAAGCCAGGGUUAGAGUUUUUAUCUUUACCUCAAUCAUUUUAAUCUUGAACAUACAGAUGAGGGACAAAUUGAAGUAAAAACAUAAUGAAUGUAGAAGGAUGAGUGUAUUAGAUUUCAGACAGGUACACUCCCGUUCAAAAGUUUGGGAUCACUAAGAUUUUUAAUGUUUUUAAAAGAAGUUUCGUCUGCUCACCA
This is an RNA transcript of Megalobrama amblycephala (Wuchang bream), 3497 nucleotides long. RefSeq lists it as uncharacterized. NCBI's taxonomy places the organism in Eukaryota, Metazoa, Chordata, Actinopteri, Cypriniformes, Xenocyprididae. The record is from RefSeq and is a predicted model, not a curated record. The transcript has 5 exons.